UACGUAGGGUGCGAGCGUUAAUCGGAAUUACUGGGCGUAAAGCGUGCGCAGGCGGUUUGCUAAGACAGGUGUGAAAUCCCCGGGCUUAACCUGGGAACUGCGCUUGUUACUGGCAAGCUGGAGUGUGGCAGAGGGGGGUGGAAUUCCACGUGUAGCAGUGAAAUGCGUAGAGAUGUGGAGGAACACCGAUGGCGAAGGCAGCCCCCUGGGCUAACACUGACGCUCAUGCACGAAAGCGUGGGGAGCAAACAGG
RNAcentral lists this ribosomal RNA (253 nucleotides) under uncultured bacterium. Its description in RNAcentral is "partial 16S ribosomal RNA". It matches the Rfam family "Bacterial small subunit ribosomal RNA", at positions 524 to 776 of the family's 1533-position model. The record is from RNAcentral.